AUGGCGGGGACGGUGCUGAGCAUGGCAAGGUCCAUGCUGGGAGGCGCCAUCAGCACAGCCGCAUCUGCCGCUGCUGCCGAGAUGAGUCUCCUCAUGGGCGUGCGCAAGGAUAUCUGGUUCAUCAAAGAUGAGCUAGAGACGAUGCAUGCUUUCCUGGAGACUGCUGAAGCAAUGAAGGAGAGAGACAAGUUACUGAAGGUGUGGGCAAAGCAAGUAAGGGACCUGUCCUACAAUAUUGAAGAUUGCCUUGGUGAAUUUAUGGUGCAUGUAGCAAGUCAAAGCUUGUCGCGGAAGCUUAUAGAGCUCAAAGACCGCCAUCGAAUUGCCAUGCAGAUCCGUGAUCUAAAAUCAAGAGUUGAAGAAGUGAGCAACAGGAACAUCCGCUACAACCUAAUUGAGAUGAAUAAAAUAAGUAGAGCUAUUGAUGAGAGUAAUUCUUGCAUGGAAGGUAUUCGCAAACAAUCAGCUAGCAACAUUGAUAAUUCUGAACAUGUAGGGUUAGACGAGCCCGAAGAAAAGCUGAUGAAGCUUUUAAAUAACCAUGCUCACAAUGGCCCUGCUCGGGUAGUAUGCGUGGUUGGCAUGGGUGGUCUGGGUAAGACUGCUCUUACAAAGAGGGUUUAUGAACGUAUAAAAAAUACAUAUUAUUGUGCUUGGAUCAAUAUCUCGCAGUCAUUUUCCAGGAUGAAGGUUCUCACAGAUAUGAUCAAACAACUUAUUGAUGAAAAAGCAUCGAAGCAUCUACUUAACAAGAAGGUGGUGCGAGAAGAGGAUCUCGCCGACUACCUCAGGAAAGAACUACUUGAGAAGAGGUAUUUUGUUGUUUUUGAUGACUUAUGGAGUAUAGAUGAUUGGAAGUGGAUCAAAACUAUUGCUUUACCAAGUAGUAAUAACAGAGGUAGCCGGAUUAUGUUAACAACACGAGAUGUUGGCUUAGCUGAGAGGUGCAUUUUUGAAUCUUUUGGAUCACAUAUCUACCACCAUGUACCCCUAGAAGCAAAUGAUGCAAUAAAUUUGCUACUAAGGAGGACAAGGAAAAGUUUGGAAGACAUGAAAAAUGACGAGCAUAUGAGGAAAAUAGUCAUUAAGAUAGUAAAGAAGUCUGGACGGUUACCUCUAGCAAUACUCGCAAUAGGAAGCAUGCUUGCCACCAGAGUGGUCAGUGAGUGGCAAAGUAUUUAUAAUCAACUCCCCUCAGAGAUAGAGAGCAACGGCGGCCUUGAAGUAAUGAGGACAAUGGUUACCCUUAGUUACAACCACUUGCCUUCUCAUCUUAAGUCAUGUUUCCUCUAUUUAAGUAUAUUUCCCGAGGAUUUUGAAAUCAAAAGAAGGCGUCUGGUAGAAAGAUGGAUAGCUGAGGGGUUUGUUGUCGCUAGGGUUGGCUGGAGUUCUGAGGAUGUUGGGAAUAGUUAUUUUAAUGAACUAGCCAACCGAAGCAUGAUUCAACGAUCAAAAGUGAACAUAGAAGGAACUGUGAAGAGAUGUCGAGUUCAUGAUAUCGUUCGCGAUGUCAUAGUCUCAAUUUCUAGAGACGAAAAUUUUGCAUGCUCAACGUGGGAUAAUGUAAUCGGCACAAUAGGAAAUAACUUCCGCCAUGUAGCAUACCAAGGUAGUUUGUGCCCAAAUAAAGGCUUGGACUGGAACCAUGUCCGAUCAUUGACUGUGUUUGGUGACAGACACAUGAAUCCAGCACCUUCACUUUGUUCACCUGACUUUAGGAUGCUUAGAGUCUUGGAUAUACAUGAUGCAUGUUUUGCACAAAAAGACAUCAACACCAUAGGGUCGUUGCGUCAUUUGAAAUAUGUCCAUGUUGAGUCUUCACAUGAACUAACUUAUAUUUACAAGCUCCCACGAUCAAUAGGAAAACUACAAGCCUUAGAGACUUUGGACAUAGGACAAAGUUAUGUGACAUCGCUACCAACUGAGGUCACUAAACUACAAAGCCUUCGUAGCCUUCGAUGCAGCAACAGGAGGGCCGAGGAAUAUUUAUGCUUACUUUACCCCAUGAUCUGGUUCAUGUCAACAUUAUGUAUGCCUAUUUUGUUGACUCCAUUAGUUAAUAUGGAUGAGCGUCCAGGCCUUAUGGUGCGCAUUCACUUGGCCUGGACUGCUCGUUUGUCCAACUCUCAAGGUGUGAGGUUGCCCAAAGGGAUCAGCAACCUAAAGGAGUUAGAGAUACUAGAGAUUGUGGAUAUUGAACGGACAAGUAGGAAAGCAGUUAAAGAGCUCGGGGAGCUUAUAAAGCUAAGGAAGUUAAGUGUCGAUGUAGGGGCAUGCAAGCAAAAGAGCAAGAUACUCUGUACAUCCCUUGAGAAGCUCACUUCCCUCCGCUCUCUUUGCCUUUGUGCGGAUGAUAGUACAUCUGGGAGAAGUGGUGCAUCACUCAAGUGGUUGCAAUCUAUUUCCUCCCCUCCCCCUCUCCUGAGGAAGCUGACUUUGGAUGGAGAUCUUGGGGAGAUGCCUGACUGGUUUGGGGAUCUGGUAAAUUUGGUGAAGAUUCAGUUAAAGUCGAGCAAUCUGAAGGAUGGUGACAAAAGCAUGGAAUUACUAGGCGCACUGACCAAGCUCAUGGUACUUGGUCUCUCUUGGCAGUCUUAUGUUGGGGGGAAACUGAUUUUCAGAGCAGAAACAUUCCCUAGUCUCAGGAGACUUGACAUUUCGGACAUGAAGCAACUGAGAGAGUUGAUAUUUGAGGUGGGCACCUCGCCCCAGUUAGAAAAGGUAGAAAUCAGAUACUGCAGUUUGCCAUCGGGGAUUACUGGUAUCAAACACCUUCCAAGACUCAAGGAGAUUUCACUUCAUUGGAGUGGUCGAGUGGCAAAGCUUGGUGCGCUGCAACGUGAAGUGGACACACACCCCAACCAUCCUGUUCUGCGACUCGGGAUGGACCGGAUCCUCCAUGACCUAGGCGAUGUCGCCGAAGGUUCCACUACAGCAGUGCAAGCGGAAGAAGCGACGAGGAGCGACAGCGAAGAUGAUCUGCGCUAA
RNAcentral lists this ribosomal RNA (2988 nucleotides) under Triticum aestivum (bread wheat). RNAcentral's name for it is "partial small subunit ribosomal RNA". Lineage: Eukaryota; Viridiplantae; Streptophyta; Magnoliopsida; Poales; Poaceae. The record is from RNAcentral.